Molecule: ribosomal RNA, 253 nt
Filed under: uncultured bacterium
Lineage: Bacteria
Description: partial 16S ribosomal RNA
Rfam family: Bacterial small subunit ribosomal RNA
Source: RNAcentral
UACGGAGGGUGCGAGCGUUGUCCGGAAUCACUGGGCGUAAAGGGCGCGCAGGCGGCUACGCACGUCCGUUGUGAAAUCGCUCGGCUCAACUGGGCGGGGUCAGCGGAUACGGCGUAGCUGGAGCAAGCUAGGGGGCAAUGGAAUUCCCGGUGUAGUGGUGGAAUGCGUAGAUAUCGGGAGGAACACCAGUGGCGAAGGCGGUUGCCUGGAGCUUUGCUGACGCUGAGGCGCGAAAGCGUGGGGAGCGAUCCGG